Molecule: ribosomal RNA, 515 nt
Filed under: uncultured organism
Description: bacterial SSU rRNA
Rfam family: Bacterial small subunit ribosomal RNA
Source: RNAcentral
AAACUCAAAGGAAUUGACGGGGGCCCGCACAAGCGGUGGAGCAUGUGGUUUAAUUCGAUGCAACGCGAAGAACCUUACCUGGGCUUGAACAGGGAAUAACCACUUUCGAAAGAAAGUUUUCUCUUCGGAGAUAUUUCUAGAGGUGCUGCAUGGCUGUCGUCAAGCUCGUGCCGUGAGGUUUUGGGUUAAGUCCCGCAACGAGCGCAACCCUUGCCCUUAGUUGCCAUCAGAUAAUGCUGGGCACUCUAAGGGGACUGCCCCGGAUAACGGGGAGGAAGGUGGGGAUGACGUCAAGUCCUCAUGGCCCUUACGUCCAGGGCUACACACGUGCUACAAUGGCAGGUACAACGGGAAGCGAUACCGCGAGUGGAGCAAAUCCUUCAAACCUGUCUCAGUUCGGAUUGUAGUCUGCAACUCGACUACAUGAAGUUGGAAUCGCUAGUAAUCGCGGAUCAGANCGCCGUGGUGUAUACGUUCCCGGGCCUUGUACACACCGCCCGUCACGCCAUGGAAGU